UGCGGGGUGGAGCAGUUUGGUAGCUCAAUGGGCUCAUAACCCAUAGGUCGGAGGUUCGAAUCCUCCCCCCGCUACCA
RNAcentral lists this transfer RNA (77 nucleotides) under Gammaproteobacteria bacterium. Its description in RNAcentral is "tRNA-Met". It matches the Rfam family "tRNA". Rfam says of the family: Transfer RNA (tRNA) molecules are approximately 80 nucleotides in length. Their secondary structure includes four short double-helical elements and three loops (D, anti-codon, and T loops). Lineage: Bacteria; Pseudomonadati; Pseudomonadota; Gammaproteobacteria. The record is from RNAcentral.